This 492-nucleotide ribosomal RNA is filed under the name uncultured bacterium. RNAcentral describes it as "partial 16S ribosomal RNA". It matches the Rfam family "Bacterial small subunit ribosomal RNA", at positions 29 to 507 of the family's 1533-position model. The record is from RNAcentral.
AGUGAACGCUGGCGGUAGGCCUAACACAUGCAAGUCGAACGGCAGCACAGUAAGAGCUUGCUCUUACGGGUGGCGAGUGGCGGACGGGUGAGGAAUACAUCGGAAUCUACUUUUUCGUGGGGGAUAACGUAGGGAAACUUACGCUAAUACCGCAUACGACCUACGGGUGAAAGCAGGGGAUCUUCGGACCUUGCGCGAUUGAAUGAGCCGAUGUCGGAUAAGCUAGUUGGCGGGGUAAAGGCCCACCAAGGCGACGAUCCGUAGCUGGUCUGAGAGGAUGAUCAGCCACACUGGAACUGAGACACGGUCCAGACUCCUACGGGAGGCAGCAGUGGGGAAUAUUGGACAAUGGGCGCAAGCCUGAUCCAGCCAUACCGCGUGGGUGAAGAAGGCCUUCGGGUUGUAAAGCCCUUUUGUUGGGAAAGAAAAGCAGCAGGUUAAUACCCCGCUGUUCUGACGGUACCCAAAGAAUAAGCACCGGCUAACUUCGUG